RNAcentral lists this ribosomal RNA (587 nucleotides) under uncultured haloarchaeon. Its description in RNAcentral is "bacterial SSU rRNA". It matches the Rfam family "Archaeal small subunit ribosomal RNA", at positions 335 to 921 of the family's 1478-position model. The record is from RNAcentral. Lineage: Archaea; Methanobacteriati; Methanobacteriota; Halobacteria; Halobacteriales; Halobacteriaceae.
GCAGGCGCGAAACCUUUACACUGCRCGACAGUGCGAUAGGGGGAUCCCAAGUGCACAGGCAUAGCGCCUGUGCUUUUCGGUACCCUAAGGCGGUACCAGAAUAAGGGCUGGGCAAGACCGGUGCCAGCCGCCGCGGUAAUACCGGCAGCCCAAGUGAUGGCCGAUCUUAUUGGGCCUAAAGCGUCCGUAGCUGGCCGUACAAGUCCAUCGGGAAAUCCACCUGCUCAACAGGUGGGCGCCCGGUAGAAACUGUGCGGCUUGGGACCGGAAGGCGCGACGGGUACGUCCGGGGUAGGAGUGAAAUCCCGUAAUCCUGGACGGACCGCCGAUGGCGAAAGCACGUCGCGAGAACGGAUCCGACAGUGAGGGACGAAAGCCAGGGUCUCGAACCGGAUUAGAUACCCGGGUAGUCCUGGCCGUAAACAAUGUCUGCUAGGUGUGGCUCCCACUACGAGUGGGUGCUGUGCCGUAGGGAAGCCGCUAAGCAGACCGCCUGGGAAGUACGUCCGCAAGGAUGAAACUUAAAGGAAUUGGCGGGGGAGCACUACAACCGGAGGAGCCUGCGGUUUAAUUGGAUUCAACGCCGG